GGAAGGAUCAUUAACACUCAAAAAUUCAUAAAAAAAAUUUGUCAAUCAAAGAAUAGAGAUUGUUGGGAUAAUAAUUGGUGGAAACAUCAUUUGUAAUCUCUUCUUCUUUUCCUUGAUUGUACAAAAGCUCAAAUAGUGGUAUGUUAAAGUCUUUAACAACAAUAAUAAUAUUGUUGUUAAAGUAAUUUUAUAUUACCCAGUCAUAUAUUUUUUUGUCUUAUUGAUCAUUAUCACUGUCAUUUUAACGAUGACAAUGACAAUGUACAAAACAAAAAAGAAAAACACAAAGACAACUUUUAACAACGGAUAUCUUGGUUCGCACAACGAUGAAGAGCGCAGCGAAAUGCGAUAAGUAAUGUGAAUUGCAGAAUUCAGUGAAUCAUCAAAACCUUGAACGCAAAUUGCACUUGGAGGACAGCCUCCAAGUAUGUCUAUUUGAGUGUCGGUUCCAAUUAUCAACAUCACACUUAUUAUAAGUGUAAUGUAUGGAAUUGAACUUUGGGAUUACAUCAAUCUCAUUGUUUGAAAUUAAUAGCAUGAGUCAGGAUAAAAAUAAUUACUUUUACUCAUGUGUGAUGCAUUGGUAUCUCGUUAAGAGGUAACUACAUCAUACUAUUAAAAAGUUAAUAUAUUUUAUUCUUGAAUUUGCAUGCACAUCAAGGAUCAUAAAAGAAAGUAACAUUUCUUUUAUUCUCAUUACCUCGACCUCAAAUUAGAUGAGACUACCCGCUGAAUUUAAGCAUAUAACUAAGCGGAGGAAAAGAAACUAACCAGGAUUCCCCUAGUAACGGCGAGUGAAGAGGGAACAGCUCAAAUUUAAAAUCUGGAGGGUUUCCCUCCCGAAUUGUAGUUUUGUGAGCAGCUUCACGAGUGCACGGCUCCGGUACAAGUUCCUUGGAAUAGGACACCAUAGAGGGUGACAGUCCCGUACAUGACUGGAGCAUAAACCGUGUAACGAUAGUGCUGCUGCCUCGAAGAGUCGGAUACUUUGGGAGUAGUGUCCAAAAUGGGUGGUACAUUUCACCUAAAGCUAAAUAAGGGUGCGAGACCGAUAGCGAACAAGUACUGUGAAGGAAAGAUGCAAAGAACUUUGAAAAGAGAGUCAAACAGUUCUUGAAAUUGUUAAAAGGGAAGCGAUUGAGAGUAGUGACUGUCCCUCUGUCGAUUCAAACGGUGGUAGAAUAUUGGUGGGGGUAUAGGGAAUGUACACUUUGCUUGUCAUACCUAUGUCCUUGCCUGGUGUUAUGCUGCCGGAGCACUUUGACAGGGGACGUGUCGACAUCUGUGGGAGUGAUUUGUGGCAGAAUGAUCAGGGUGAGGUACCAGGCUGGUCUUUUCCAGUUCGGAUUAUACACCUUGAUAGAUACCACCGCUAUCCUACAGAGGCGCCUUAAGGUGCAAGCAUGUGCCAAGCGAGGCAAGGUUUAUCCCGUUGAAUGAAGACUGUGGAGACAGCAUGCUGUGUCUAUUGAUCUAUUGUUUAGCAGAGAUGAAUCAGCCGUAUGCAUGCUAGGGAUGUCGACGAAAUGCUUUCAACCGUCCCGUCUUGAAACACGGACCAAGGAGUCUAACGUAUGUGCGAGUAUUGGAGUGAGUAAAACUCCGAUGCGUAAUGAAAGUGACUGGUGGGAAGCUCUCCUUUAUUGUUUUGAGCUGCUGCACCAUCGACCGAUCUGGAUAUUCUUGGAUAGAUUUGAGUACGAGCACAUCCGUUGGGACCCGAAAGAUAGCGAACUAUGCUUGCAUAGGGUGAAGCCAGAAGAAAUUCUGGUGGAGGCUCGUAGCGAUACUGACGUGCAAAUCGUUCGUCAAAUGUGGGUAUAGCGGCGAAAGACUAAUCGAGCUGUCUAGUAGCUGGUUUCCUC
RNAcentral lists this unclassified non-coding RNA (1865 nucleotides) under uncultured fungus. Its description in RNAcentral is "sequence contains 18S rRNA gene, ITS1, 5.8S rRNA gene, ITS2, 28S rRNA gene". The stretch from base 703 to 1865 matches the Rfam family "Eukaryotic large subunit ribosomal RNA", at positions 1 to 961 of the family's 3401-position model. Lineage: Eukaryota; Fungi. The record is from RNAcentral.